GGGGUUGUGGCUCAGUGGUAGAGCAUUUGCUUAGCACAUCUAAGACCCUGAGUUUGAUCCUCAGCACCACA
Molecule: transfer RNA, 71 nt
Filed under: Marmota monax (woodchuck)
Lineage: Eukaryota; Metazoa; Chordata; Mammalia; Rodentia; Sciuridae
Description: tRNA.Ala
Source: RNAcentral